UGCAGUCGAGCGGACCGUACGGGAGCUUGCUCCCUUAGGUCAGCGGCGGACGGGUGAGUAACACGUGGGUAACCUGCCUGUAAGACUGGGAUAACUCCGGGAAACCGGGGCUAAUACCGGAUGCUUGAUUGAACCGCAUGGUUCAAUUAUAAAAGGUGGCUUUUAGCUACCACUUACAGAUGGACCCGCGGCGCAUUAGCUAGUUGGUGAGGUAACGGCUCACCAAGGCAACGAUGCGUAGCCGACCUGAGAGGGUGAUCGGCCACACUGGGACUGAGACACGGCCCAGACUCCUACGGGAGGCAGCAGUAGGGAAUCUUCCGCAAUGGACGAAAGUCUGACGGAGCAACGCCGCGUGAGUGAUGAAGGUUUUCGGAUCGUAAAACUCUGUUGUUAGGGAAGAACAAGUACCGUUCGAAUAGGGCGGUACCUUGACGGUACCUAACCAGAAAGCCACGGCUAACUACGUGCCAGCAGCCGCGGUAAUACGUAGGUGGCAAGCGUUGUCCGGAAUUAUUGGGCGUAAAGCGCGCGCAGGCGGUUUCUUAAGUCUGAUGUGAAAGCCCCCGGCUCAACCGGGGAGGGUCAUUGGAAACUGGGGAACUUGAGUGCAGAAGAGGAGAGUGGAAUUCCACGUGUAGCGGUGAAAUGCGUAGAGAUGUGGAGGAACACCAGUGGCGAAGGCGACUCUCUGGUCUGUAACUGACGCUGAGGCGCGAAAGCGUGGGGAGCGAACAGGAUUAGAUACCCUGGUAGUCCACGCCGUAAACGAUGAGUGCUAAGUGUUAGAGGGUUUCCGCCCUUUAGUGCUGCAGCAAACGCAUUAAGCACUCCGCCUGGGGAGUACGGUCGCAAGACUGAAACUCAAAGGAAUUGACGGGGGCCCGCACAAGCGGUGGAGCAUGUGGUUUAAUUCGAAGCAACGCGAAGAACCUUACCAGGUCUUGACAUCCUCUGACAACCCUAGAGAUAGGGCUUCCCCUUCGGGGGCAGAGUGACAGGUGGUGCAUGGUUGUCGUCAGCUCGUGUCGUGAGAUGUUGGGUUAAGUCCCGCAACGAGCGCAACCCUUGAUCUUAGUUGCCAGCAUUCAGUUGGGCACUCUAAGGUGACUGCCGGUGACAAACCGGAGGAAGGUGGGGAUGACGUCAAAUCAUCAUGCCCCUUAUGACCUGGGCUACACACGUGCUACAAUGGGCAGAACAAAGGGCAGCGAAGCCGCGAGGCUAAGCCAAUCCCACAAAUCUGUUCUCAGUUCGGAUCGCAGUCUGCAACUCGACUGCGUGAAGCUGGAAUCGCUAGUAAUCGCGGAUCAGC
Molecule: ribosomal RNA, 1315 nt
Filed under: Bacillus haynesii
Lineage: Bacteria; Bacillati; Bacillota; Bacilli; Caryophanales; Bacillaceae
Description: bacterial SSU rRNA
Rfam family: Bacterial small subunit ribosomal RNA
Source: RNAcentral